AUUCAGUUGACGAGUCUAAAAUAGGACGAAACGCGUGUCCUGGAC
Non-coding RNA from Schistosoma margrebowiei, 45 nucleotides. The record is from Rfam. Lineage: Eukaryota; Metazoa; Platyhelminthes; Trematoda; Strigeidida; Schistosomatidae.